This 27-nucleotide non-coding RNA is filed under the name Cricetulus griseus (Chinese hamster). Lineage: Eukaryota; Metazoa; Chordata; Mammalia; Rodentia; Cricetidae. The record is from RNAcentral.
CAAGGAUUUGGUUCUCUGCCCUCACAG